Molecule: long non-coding RNA, 619 nt
Organism: Mustela lutreola (European mink)
Lineage: Eukaryota; Metazoa; Chordata; Mammalia; Carnivora; Mustelidae
Exons: 2
Source: RefSeq, a predicted model, not a curated record
CCUCCCCAGGUACAGAUGGGGCUGCAGAAAAUGUUCAUUUCUUCCUCGCCUUACACGAAAUCAGGUUUUGAGAAAGCAAUCAGUGGAUCAACAGUCUAUCACAGUAGAAUUAUUGAUUUGUGCCUUUGUUUCUCUUAAUAUUUUAGGGCAUUUAAUAUCUCCUGUGACAUGAGUUCAUGAAAAUGACCGAAACAGAUUUGGCAGUUCCUUUUACCAAGCCCUGUUCUUAUUGUUUUCUGGGAGGAGAGGAGAAGACACAGGAAGACAGAGAGAAGGAUAUGUGGAGACAGAGGCAGAGAUUGGAGAUCCGGGUCUACAAGCAAAGAAAACACCAAGGAUUGUCAGUAAUCACCAGAAGCUAGUAGAGAAGCAUGGAAUAAUUUUUCCCUCAAUACCAACGUUGAUGACACCUUGAUUUCAGACUUCAAGCCUCCAGAACUAUGAAAGAAUAAAUAUCUAUUAUUUGAAACCACCAAGUUUGUAGUAGUUUGCUACAGCAGUCUUAGGAAACUGAGACAACACUGUAAUGACAAUGUAAUACCGAAAAGGCUUGUUUGUUGUUAAGUGGUAUCCUAAUCAAAUGAGAUCCAUUAAGAAAAGUAAAAAAGAUUGGAUGCAA